UGUUUUAAUUUUUACACAUAGAAAAAUACAUAUAAAUGCUUAAUUUUCAAGUUUUUACCAAUUUACAGUUCCAAUGAGGUGGUUGCACAGCCUAUUCAAGGUGCUGGUAUUGAGAAUAAUAUUUAUCAGUUAGCAGAUGAUCUACCCGGCCCAUCCUCUGCUUCUCAUAUUAGAGGAGACGUAUAUUCUUCCAUCGAUAGAAGGUUACAAGUGUCAGGUGCUCAAACUGUAAAUUACAAGGUUUCAAAUAAUGACAACAGAAAACAACAGCCAGGAGUAAGAGAUGGACACAACAGGGUCGUAGAAGAUGAUUUCUCAAAACUAAAUUAUGUUGAGGUUGCAUUCGACUCAAAAAGGACAUCUAGAGAGUUUUACAUCCAUGGAGCUGAACAUAGAACUCAGUAUGUAGACAUAGACCUUUUGGCAAAAGCUGAUCCUUUGUGUAAUGAAGACGAGAAUGACAGUGUAUCCUCUUCUGGGGAUAACAACGAUGAUGAUUUUGUGUCUCUAGAGGAGAUUCAGAAAUGGAAAAUUAAUGAAGAUAGAUGAAUGUUACCAUUAAGAAUUAUUUCCAGUUUCAUGGACUGUCAAAAUAUGACAAUUCGUACAUUUGUACAUAAAAUAUUGCGAAAUGGUAUGCAAAUUCAACUUUAAACAUUAUUUUUUUAUCAAUUUUUGUUCGUUUUUAUUUAUUAACAUUAAACAUUACGUGUGUAUGGCAUUGUAUGAACAAGAAUUACGCAAAUCAAUGUAUUUCAAUAUGAUAUGCAUUUAUAAUCUAUAAUAAACUUGAAAUCAAAUUAAAGCCGAGACAAAUGAAGGUUAUAUACACAAACUGAUGGAAUAGCGUGAAUUACAAAGGGAUCAAGAAUGUAUGCGUCGAUAAGUUCAUUGUCUUCGGCUAUUAUUCAUGCCUAAACCGCCAUGCAAAUCCACACUCAGUCAAAGUGUCAAAAUCUGGAAUAUACCCAUAAAACCCUGAUUAUUACAAAGUAGUUUUGAAAAAUACUGGCAAAAUACAGAAGUGUAGGUUAUAUAUUUCGGAAGUAUGCUUAUAGAGUUGAAAAAUAAAUUGAUCUACAACAGA
This is a long non-coding RNA of Mytilus californianus (California mussel), 1087 nucleotides long. RefSeq lists it as uncharacterized. NCBI's taxonomy places the organism in Eukaryota, Metazoa, Mollusca, Bivalvia, Mytilida, Mytilidae. The transcript has 4 exons. The record is from RefSeq and is a predicted model, not a curated record.